This is a non-coding RNA of Podarcis lilfordi (Lilford's wall lizard), 77 nucleotides long. The record is from the annotation of a GenBank genome assembly. Lineage: Eukaryota; Metazoa; Chordata; Lepidosauria; Squamata; Lacertidae.
GGUGAAGAACCCUAGGUCAGUGGUAGAACAUCUGCUUUGUAUGCAUAAUGCCUCAGGUUCAAUCCCUAACAUUUCCA